GUUUCAGUGACCCACUCUGUAAUAAAGAACUUGGAAAGGGAGGUUCCAAGAUGGCCAAAUAUGAACAGCUCCAGUCUACAGCCCCCAGCGUGAGUGAUGCAGAAGACGGGUGAUUUCUGCAUUUCCAACUGAGGAAAUUCUGCAAGUGGCAACGUGGGUCCAUUCCGUGUGUGUCACUAGAGCUGGCGCAAGCCCAUGGCCAUGGUGAGGCAGCGUUUCCACUGGAACUAAUCUGAUACCUGCACCAGCUCUUGCAACUGUGCAGUGUUCCCACUGCAAACUACGGAUGGGGUAAAAGACUGCUCACCUCCUAUUUCUCAUCUAAUCUCACACACUCUGUUUGAUGAGGCUAUGGAGAAACAGGUCUUCUCAUACACUAAAGGUGGGAGUACAAACAAUUCAAGCCCUGUGCAGGACAAUUAGGCAAUACCUAUCAAAAUUAUACAUGAUUUUUCCUGCUGACCCAGCAAUUCCACUUCUGGGAAUAAUUGACAGAUAUAGGUGCAUAUGUACAAAAUGAUGGAAAGCUCUCUGGUAUAUAUUAGUAAGUGAUAAAACAAGGUGUAAAAUAGUGUAUAUAUGGCUACUACCUUUUGUUUUAAAAAUGGGGGAAAAUGGUGGAGCUUGCGGUGAGCCGAGAUCGUGCCACUGCACUCCAGCCUGGGCGACAGAGCGAGACUCCGUCUCAAAAAAAAAACAGGGUGGGGUGGGGGGGAAAUAAUAGUACAUACUCAUAUUUACCUGUAUCUAUAUAAAACACACUAUCAAGGAUUCACAAGAAACUAAUACAAAUGAUCACCUUAUAGAUGGUAUGUAUUGGGGGAUACUGAGGUGAGCAGGGUAUAAGUGGGGCAAGACUUUUCAGUGUAAACUUCUUUUAAAUUUUAUUUUGAUUUUUGAAUAAUGUAAAUUAACUGUCAAAUAAUUAAAUUAAAAAUAACCAAUUUAUUAACAAAACA
This 959-nucleotide long non-coding RNA is filed under the name Homo sapiens (human). RNAcentral describes it as "non-protein coding BDNF-AS:23". Lineage: Eukaryota; Metazoa; Chordata; Mammalia; Primates; Hominidae. The record is from RNAcentral.